This is a long non-coding RNA of Vidua chalybeata, 1043 nucleotides long. RefSeq lists it as uncharacterized. The transcript has 2 exons. The record is from RefSeq and is a predicted model, not a curated record. Lineage: Eukaryota; Metazoa; Chordata; Aves; Passeriformes; Viduidae.
CCUCUCCUUCCCUGACACCAGCGAGAAGCUCGGUGACACACACUUUCCUGCUUAGAAGCAGGCUGUUCACCGCUGGCUUUUAUUUAUUUAAUAGCCCUCUUUCACAACAGUGCUCUACAGCUUUUAGUUGAAGAUGCAGGGUGGAAACUCGAGGCGUGGUUUACAGAGCUGAGGGGCAGAGCCGUGGGUCGGCCGCGGGCCCCUGCCCCGGGCUGGCAGACGCCUUGGCGCCGGGGCCUGCGAGGGCCGCGGGCAAGGCACGGGGCCCGGCUUUUCAGUGCCUGGCUCCCCACAGAAUGCUGCACCACACUGCACCACACUGAUGGGCUGUACAGUCCCUCCAGCAGCUGAGGUGUUCCCAAAAGGGGUGCAGUGCUUCUUGACGGGUUUCACGAGACCAGCCCAGCUGCCUAUUUUUUCCAGUUUUCAGUGAUCACUUAACACUUGACUUCAGUGAUACCGGAAAUUAGGUGGAAAAGGAAACCCAAAGACGAUAAAACUGACAAGUCUGCAUCCAUUUAAAUCUCUUCAAUAUCCAGACUGAGCGCUUGGAUUUAAGCAGAGUCACUGAAGAUUUACAGUGGCAGGCAGACAAGAACUCCAGGACUGAGUUAGGAACACAUGUGAACAACCUCAAAGCAAGUUUAAAGAAAAGUGAACUUGUGCCCACUGUUUAUUUCAGUGUAAACACAUAAAGCUAUCUUGAAAUACAGUCUGUGAAUCAGGCAGUAAAUUUGACCAAAAGAAGGGUUCUCAGCUGGCUCACUGAGGGAAUAUAGCGGACUAAGGUCCAGUGAUCAGCUCCUAGUUGAGUGUCAAACGAGGCUGGAGUAAGGGAGAAUGUUGCCAUGAUUCUGAGAAUUUAUGUGUUGUAAGGACAGCUACAAAAAAUUCAAACAACCUAGUGUAUUACAGCUGCUCUGAUUCUUACACUUCUGUUUGAUUUCAAACACAGAGAAUGACUCUGAAAUCACAUCUGUAUAAAAUAUUUCAUGUGCAACAGGAAAAAAGAUACAGCUGCUGUAUUAUACCUCUGUAUAAUA